CAACAGAAACUAAUGCUAGAACUAAACAGCCUCAGACCCUGAUUUCUAAACUCUGAGCAGUGAAAGCCAGAUCAACUCAGCUGCUCCUCGUUUUGGAGUAAUUGCUGCAUGGUCAUGAUGGCACAGCCAAAGCUGCAGUAAGAAGAGAAAACUGUGUGUCAGUUACAGACUGGCGAUAUCUUUGUUCUCCAGGAUCUCCGUCUUCUGCUCAGGUUGGAGCAAAGUGUUUGACACCAUGGCUUUUGCCACCACUGGGACUGGGAUGGCCAUGGAUGUAGAAGACACAGCGGAAAAGGCACUGAAGAAUUUUCUGGCCAACCACUCAGCAGGCCGACUCUCCUGCCUAUCUACCAAUAAAACCCUGUUGGAGUAAAGCACAAAGGUGAGCUGUCUCCUUCCAAUGAGAGUAAUCUUGGAGAAGAGGUUGCGUGCUAGCAGCUCUUUGAGAACCACCUGGCCCGUCUCUCCAGAAGCACCAAGGAUGAAACAGCUUUUAUUUUGCUGCCUGAAGUUCUCCUCCAGAGUCUUCAUGUCCUCUGCCAUGCUGCCAAAACAGACAUCUCUCUUUGAAGCAAGUGCAGGUUAGGAACAUUUUACGACCUUGGAGGCUUUGGAAUCAGUCCCCAUUUGGUAAACACUUUGAAAAGAAGGCUUCAGUAUUGUUAAUAUUGACUUUUAGUGUAAUCUUGAUGAUAAAAGUUUUAUUGUGUCAUCAUUUAACAUUUUCCUGACCAAAUAAAUGAAUCCAAACCAUUCCUAAU
Centropristis striata (black sea bass) is the source of this 761-nucleotide long non-coding RNA. RefSeq lists it as uncharacterized. The transcript has 4 exons. The record is from RefSeq and is a predicted model, not a curated record. Lineage: Eukaryota; Metazoa; Chordata; Actinopteri; Perciformes; Serranidae.